GGAGGGGCCCGCGGCGCAUUAGCUAGUUGGUGAGGGAAGGGCUCACCAAGGCGACGAUGCGUAGCCGGCCUGAGAGGGUGAACGGCCACACUGGGACUGAGACACGGCCCAGACUCCUACGGGAGGCAGCAGUAGGGAAUCUUCCGCAAUGGACGGAAGUCUGACGGAGCAACGCCGCGUGAGUGAGGAAGGCCUUCGGGUCGUAAAGCUCUGUUGUCGCGAAGAAGGGGUUGGCCAGGAAAUGGGCCGACAUUGACGGUAGCGAACCAGAAAGCCCCGGCUAACUACGUGCCAGCAGCCGCGGUAACACGUAGGGGGCAAGCGUUGUCCGGAAUGAUUGGGCGUAAAGGGCGCGCAGGCGGCCCCUUAAGUCUGAUGUGAAAGCCCACGGCUCAACCGUGGAGGGACAUUGGAAACUGGGGGGCUUGAGUGCAGGAGAGGGGAGUGGAAUUCCACGUGUAGCGGUGAAAUGCGUAGAGGUGUGGAGGAACACCAGUGGCGAAGACGGCUCUCUGGCCUGUGACUGACGCUGAGGCGCGAAAGCGUGGGGAGCGAACAGGAUUAGAUACCCUGGUAGUCCACGCCGU
Molecule: ribosomal RNA, 587 nt
Filed under: uncultured organism
Description: SSU rRNA
Rfam family: Bacterial small subunit ribosomal RNA
Source: RNAcentral